RNAcentral lists this transfer RNA (72 nucleotides) under Camelus ferus (Wild Bactrian camel). It matches the Rfam family "tRNA". Rfam says of the family: Transfer RNA (tRNA) molecules are approximately 80 nucleotides in length. Their secondary structure includes four short double-helical elements and three loops (D, anti-codon, and T loops). The record is from Rfam by way of RNAcentral. Lineage: Eukaryota; Metazoa; Chordata; Mammalia; Artiodactyla; Camelidae.
GGAGUUAUAGCUCAGUGGUAGAGCACAUGCUUAGCUUGCACAAGGUCCUGGGGUCAAUCUCCAGUACUUCCA